AACAGGAUUAGAUACCCUGGUAGUCCACGCCGUAAACGAUGUCGACUUGGAGGUUGUGCCCUUGAGGCGUGGCUUCCGGAGCUAACGCGUUAAGUCGACCGCCUGGGGAGUACGGCCGCAAGGUUAAAACUCAAAUGAAUUGACGGGGGCCCGCACAAGCGGUGGAGCAUGUGGUUUAAUUCGAUGCAACGCGAAGAACCUUACCUGGUCUUGACAUCCACGGAAGUUUUCAGAGAUGAGAAUGUGCCUUCGGGAACCGUGAGACAGGUGCUGCAUGGCUGUCGUCAGCUCGUGUUGUGAAAUGUUGGGUUAAGUCCCGCAACGAGCGCAACCCUUAUCCUUUGUUGCCAGCGGUCCGGCCGGGAACUCAAAGAAGACUGCCAGUGAUAAACUGGAGGAAGGUGGGGAUGACGUCAAGUCAUCAUGGCCCUUACGACCAGGGCUACACACGUGCUACAAUGGCGCAUACAAAGAGAAGCGACCUCGCGAGAGCAAGCGGACCUCAUAAAGUGCGUCGUAGUCCGGAUUGGAGUCUGCAACUCGACUCCAUGAAGUCGGAAUCGCUAGUAAUCGUGGAUCAGAAUGCCACGGUGAAUACGUUCCCGGGCCUUGUACACACCGCCCGUCACACCAUGGGAGUGGGUUGCAAAAGAAGUAGGUAGCUUAACCUUCGGGAGGGCGCUUACCACUUUGUGAUUCAUGACUGGGGUGAAGUCGUAACAAGGUAACC
This 730-nucleotide ribosomal RNA is filed under the name uncultured bacterium. Its description in RNAcentral is "bacterial SSU rRNA". It matches the Rfam family "Bacterial small subunit ribosomal RNA", at positions 771 to 1501 of the family's 1533-position model. The record is from RNAcentral.